GACGAACGCUGGCGGCGCGCCUAACACAUGCAAGUCGAACGAGCAAAGAGGAGCUUGCUUCUCUAAGCGAGUGGCGAACGGGUGAGUAACGCGUGAGGAACCUGCCUCAAAGAGGGGGACAACAGUUGGAAACGACUGCUAAUACCGCAUAAGCCCACGGGUCGGCAUCGACCAGAGGGAAAAGGAGUGAUCCGCUUUGAGAUGGCCUCGCGUCCGAUUAGCUAGUUGGUGAGGUAACGGCCCACCAAGGCGACGAUCGGUAGCCGGACUGAGAGGUUGAACGGCCACAUUGGGACUGAGACACGGCCCAGACUCCUACGGGAGGCAGCAGUGGGGAAUAUUGCACAAUGGGGGAAACCCUGAUGCAGCGACGCCGCGUGGAGGAAGAAGGUCUUCGGAUUGUAAACUCCUGUUGUUGAGGAAGAUAAUGACGGUACUCAACAAGGAAGUGACGGCUAACUACGUGCCAGCAGCCGCGGUAAAACGUAGGUCACAAGCGUUGUCCGGAAUUACUGGGUGUAAAGGGAGCGCAGGCGGGAAGGCAAGUUGGAAGUGAAAUCCAUGGGCUCAACCCAUGAACUGCUUUCAAAACUGUUUUUCUUGAGUAGUGCAGAGGUAGGCGGAAUUCCCGGUGUAGCGGUGG
RNAcentral lists this ribosomal RNA (643 nucleotides) under uncultured Faecalibacterium sp. RNAcentral describes it as "bacterial SSU rRNA". It matches the Rfam family "Bacterial small subunit ribosomal RNA", at positions 28 to 684 of the family's 1533-position model. The record is from RNAcentral. Lineage: Bacteria; Bacillati; Bacillota; Clostridia; Eubacteriales; Oscillospiraceae.